This is a long non-coding RNA of Equus caballus (horse), 2765 nucleotides long. NCBI's taxonomy places the organism in Eukaryota, Metazoa, Chordata, Mammalia, Perissodactyla, Equidae. The record is from Ensembl.
CUCGCCACUUUAGAACUUCUGCUUCUGCCACAAUUCCACCUUGCCAACCCGGCUCAGACGAAAUGCCUACAUCUUCCCCUUCAGCAACGGGAAUGAGGCCCAGAUGAUUGUGCUUCCACAUGCUUAGCAGGAGCAGACAAUAGGCUUUUUACAGACGGCCAUUGUGCACUGGUGCAAAGAGUGUCAGAAUGCACCUAUGUCAGAAAGGGCCCCUUGCUCUCAGCCGUGCCCUCCAUCGCUCUAGAGGUGGAAGGCACAAAGCACUGCCUCCAUCCUUGAAUUGGAGACAAGCCAUAAACAGUCUUGCCUCCAGCUCUUUAGGAAGCUGACAAACAACUCGCUUUCCACAGUCCUGUUACAGCAGACCAGGAACUUCUCAUACAAAGGCAGCUCAAAUGGCAUUUCUUCCCAGCCCUUAACUCACAUCUUUAGAACUUCUGCUUCUGCCGCAAUUCCACCUUGCCAACCCGGCUCAGACAAAAUGCCUACAUCUUCCCCUUAAGCAACUGGGCUGAGUCCCAAAUGAUUGUGCAAUCAUGUGCUUAGCAGGAGAUAGACAAUACGCUUUUCCAACCACAGUUGAGCACUGGUGGAGAGAGUGUCAGAAAGCACCUAUGUCAGAAAGGCCCCUUUCCUCUCAGCCUUGCCCUCCAUUGCUCUAGACGUGGAAUGCACAAUGCAUUGGCUCCACCCCUCAAGGGGCGGAGAGCCGCAGACCAUCUCUCUUCCAUCUCUUUAGGAAGCUGAGAACAAACUCACCUGACGUAUAGAAAGGAAUCAUGCCCCUUAGAUGCCACAAAAACCCUGGGAGUCAUGCCAAAAAGACCCUCUGCACACUCUCAAAGAACCACACAUUCAUGCCAGAACGACCCAACAGGCACACCAGAAGCACCAAGGUUGCAUGCCAAAACAACCUGUAACCACCUGCCAGACACAGUGGAACAACGAUUCUGACACUGCAGAACCAUCUCUUCAACAUGCCAGCCGCACACAACAGACAUGACGGAACCAGAUUUCAAACGUAGCACAACCACAUGCCAGACAUAUUGGUAAAACCUGUUGGAUAUGCCGCAAAUAGGUGGCAGAAACACUGAAACCACCUGCUGAGUAUGUCAGAACCGGAGGCCAGAAAUGCCACAAACACCUGUCUUACAAGCCAGAGCCACGAGCCCAAAAAGCAGGAAAGACCUGCCAGACACACCAAAAUAAACUGCCGGUGAUGCCAGAACCACUCGGAGGACAGCCAGGAAUCACCUGCUGGGCAUGCCUGAACCACCUGCUGAGCAUGCCGGAACAACCUACUCAACUCGGUGGAAUGACCUGCCAGACACGUCAAAAUCACCUGCCAGCCACGCUAGAACCACUUGGUGGAGACUCUAGAAUCACCUGUGGGCAUGCAGGAGCCACCUCUCAAACGUGCCACAACCACAUGCCUGACAAGCCGGAACCAACUCCCAAACAGACCGGAAGCACAUGCCGAACAUGCCGGAACCACCUGCAUGACUCGCUGGAACCACAUGCCAGGCACGCCAUAAUCACCUGCCAGCUAUGCCAGAACCACUUGUCGGACACUCCAGAACCACCUGCUGGGCAUGCCGCAACCAACUCUCAGACACGCCAGAACCACAUGCCUGACACGCUGGUACCACCCACCAGACAGACCGGAACCACCUGCCAGAAAUGCCUCAACCACCUGCCAAGCACACCGGAACUACCUGCUUGACACGCUGGAACCACCAGUCUCUCAUGCCAAAAGCACCUGCUGGCUACACCAGAACCACUUGCCGGACACCGUGGAAUCACCCGCCAGGCAUGCCGUAAUCACCUCUCAGAUGUACUAGAAGCACGUGCCGGAGAUGCCUGAAGCACCUGCUGAGCACGCCGGAACCACCUGCUCGACUUGCAGGAACCACCUGCCAGACACGCCAAAAUGAACUGCCGGCUAUGCCAGAACCACUUUGGGGACUCCCUGGAAUCACCUGCUGGGCAUGCCAAUACUACCUAAAAGACGUGCUGGAACCACGUGCCGGACACGCCGGAACCCUCUCCCGGACAGACCGGAACCACCUGCUGGAACCGCCUGAAGCACCUGCCGAGCACGCCGGAACCACUUGAUCGACUCACCAGAACCACCUGCCGGACAUGCCAAAAUCACCUGCCGGCUAAGCAAGAACCACGUGGAGGAGUCUCCAGGAUCAUCUGCCGGGCAUGCUGGUACCACAUCUCAGACGUGCCAGAACCAUGUGCCGGUCAUGCCAGAACCUCCUGCUGAGUAUGCCGGAACCACCUGAUCCACUCCCCAGAACCACCUGCCGGACACACCAAUAUCACCUGCUGGCUACGCCAGAACCACUUGGCGGACACUCCAGAAUCAACUGCCGGUCAUUGUGGAACCACCUCUCACACGUGUCAUAACCACAUGCCGGAGAUGGAAAAAUCACCUGCCAACUAUGCCACAACCACUUGUCGGACACUCCGGAAUCACCUGUCGGGCAUGCCAGAACCACCUGUCAGAUGUGCCUGAACCAUGUGCUGGACACGCCAGAACCACCUCCCAGAAAGACUGGGACCACCUGCCGUGCCCACUGGAAGCACCUGCCGAGCAUGCCGGAGCCACAUGCUCGACUCGCCAGAUCCACCUGCCUAACAUGGCAAAAUCACCGGCCAGCUAUACCAGAACCAGUUGCCGGACGCACCGCAAUCACCUGCUGGGCAUGCCAGCACAACCUCCCAGACGUGCCAGAAGCACGUGCUGGACACGACGG